Molecule: long non-coding RNA, 3237 nt
Organism: Trifolium pratense (red clover)
Lineage: Eukaryota; Viridiplantae; Streptophyta; Magnoliopsida; Fabales; Fabaceae
Exons: 13
Source: RefSeq, a predicted model, not a curated record
GUAUAAAUUUUACUGGACCUCUACUAACACCAAUUGAAGAGCUUCAAAUGUCUACCAUAAUUCAUCAUUUAACAAGUUUAUUUCUCUUUCUUCUCUGCUACUCUCUCAUUUUGUCUCAUCAUCCCCACACUUUCAUCUCUCUCUAUUCUCAAUCUCUCUUUCUCUCUGCCAUCCCCAUCUCAUCUUUAUGCUCUCAUCUCUCAUAUCAAUAUCAUCAUCUAGCAAAUCCAAACCAAGAUCAACUCAAAGUUCACAUGCAAGUGUAGAUUUGUAAUCCUUGAAUCUUGGGCUUUCAAGAAAGGAUCAAGGAGCCAUGGUUAAGGGAUUUGAAGUAAUUUAGAAGAAUAUUGGUGACCAGGUUUAUCCAAACAACUGGUUUAUGAAAAUAACUGGUUUAUACAAACAGUUGCUGGAUUGGAUUGCUGAUUUAUGUAAAUGUUUGGUUGCAUGUGUUGCUCCUAAUGAUAUCAUUUCAUUCUUCUAUUGCUGGCAAAGAAGCGGAAACAGAGUCCUCAAUUUAUCCAUUCAACAUGUCACUCUCCUCAUUCUCGUCCGCUCCCCUCGUGGUACAGCCACCAUCCCUCCCAUCUCUUUCAUUUUUUCGCUUCUUCCUCUGCAGAAGAAGCUGCGGCAGAGCGCCGUCGUUACAAGCACCGUCUCCUCUCCCCCUUCUCGUCCGCUCCCCUCGUGGUACCACCACCGUCCCUCUCAUCUCAAUCACAGUCCGUUUUUUUGUUUCUUCCUCUGCGGCAGAGCACCGUCGUUACAAGCGUAGUCUCCGUAUCAAACUUCCUUUGAACACAAUUCGUCCUCCACCUCAUCAACAUCAUCUCUCUCUCAUCAAGAUGGCAGAUCUCUGGGUAAGGGAAUGGGUAAUUUCCGUAAGAGAAGGAACAAAUGUGAAACAGUACCAAGUAGAUAAGUAAGGUCUUGGAUGCCACCCUUGAAGAUUUGGAGUUUUGAUAUGUGAUUUCUUGAAUCCAUCAUGGGACAAGAGUGAGUAACAUGAAAUUUGAUUUGAGGGUAGUUUUGAUUCAGUUUCAAUUAUUGCUUUUGACCGUGUAGCUUCUACCGUCAAGUCUGCAGUUGAUAUUCAAACACCGGGUGAUCUUAUAACUCUUACUGCUGCAGCUGCAACAGCUUUGAGAGGAGAAGCAGCUUUUAUAGCGAGAUUUCCAAAAGAAGCAAAGAAGAAUGCAUCAAUAAGUCCCUAUGAUAAGGGAAUAGCAGAAACACAAUGUCCACUUGCUUUUGCUUUUGAGGGUCAGAUGUUAGAAAACUUUUCUCCAUGUGUGGAUGAUUUGUUGCAGGUUACAGAAAAAGGUGCAUUACGAUGGAAACAUGUGUCUGUUUACAUCAACAAGAAAUAUUAGGUCAAAAUUAAGAUCAAAAGCAAACACAUUGGAGGAGCUUUCUCCAAAAAGAGUAAAUGUGUGGAUUAUGGAGUGUGUAAUGAAGACUCGGCAUGGCCAUAUCAAAAAGAAAGGGAAGCUUCUGAAGAGCUCUAUUUUGGCCUCAAAACUGCACAAGGUCUUCUAGAAUUUAAGUCUGAGAGCAAACUCCAAAAGCAAAAAUGGGUUGAUGGGACACUAUGCACUAUUUCGUAUCGUUUGAGAUUGCUCUUCUUUCUCGCUUUCUUUUGGCAUACCUGGCGACGUGAAUGAGUGAACAGGGAGCACACACAAGAACCGCGGCAGCCUCCGAUGUAGAUGAGAAGGUGGAAAAGAUGGGAAGAAGAAACCAAGACACUGAGUACCAAUUUUCACAUGAUCCUGAAAGAUUCAGAUUUGCUGGUGAGACUUCAUUUGGAAAAAGACACUUGAGUUUCUGGACUAAAAAACCUGUCCUAAUUUGGAUUGUUUGUUUCUUCAGCCAAUUUAUAAGGUCAGUUCCUGAAGUGGAUUACUUGACCUUAAGGCAUGGAUUUAUUAUGGUAAUUAAUAUUACUCCUCUAUACCAAAUUUCUAUCAUUUUUUUGGUUAUUAGUAUUCAUUAAUAAUAAAUUAAUAAUACUCAAAGGAUGGAUCGUUCGGAAGAAUCCGAAUUCAAUUUUUGAGUCGUUAUAUUGUUGUUGAAGCUCUCUACCAGGUAGAUCUUUUCUAUCAUGUUUUUAUUAGCUUUAGACAUCUAUAUUGUGUUUCCAAAGUAGUGCUCACAGUCUUAAGAUUUAGUUGAAUGAAUUGCUUGCUUCAAGCAUCACUCAAUAUUGAUUAAUUACUUAAUUUUGCUAUAUGAACUGUUAUUUCUGCUGAGAUAGUAUGGUAAUCAACAAAUGCAAAUUGAAGAUAUAUGAAGUAUUUAAACAAAUAUUUUGAUCUAUUGGUGUUGCUGUUAGAUUGGUGUCUGUUGCAAGUUUCAAUAUCAUUCCUUAAAAGACUAUUGUUACUUGCCCUGGUUUCAUCCACUAUUCUGAUUUCUAUCGCUAUUUGUGAUUUAUUGUAGUGUGCUGCAGGUUAGACAUUAGAUCUUAUAACUGCUGCUAUAGGACAUGCAUUGGCCACAGAAGGAAGAUUCUGCACCAGAAGUGCGAGAGUUACAGAUCACCAAGUAUGGUAGUUCAUAUAUAAACUGAUUCAUAAACUAAUUUGGAUUUUCAUGUAAACUGAGAUAAAAAGAGAGGAAAAUAUGGUCGAUGAUGGUGACUAUUAUUUCUCAUCCAUUUUCCCAGCACUAAUAUCUGUGGUUUCAACUUUGGCAGCGAUUGAGUAGCUCUGGCUACGUCUUUUAUGCUUCUUUGCCUCCAUAUCUGGCAAGCGCUGCAAUUACAACUAUUGAUGUCCUCGAGGAAAAUCCCAGUCUGUUAACAAAGUUGAAGAAAAGCGUCGCUGUCUUACGGAAAGGUUUGUGCAGAAGUUGGUCAAUCCAGUAUAAAAACAGAACUUUCUCAAGAAGAUGCAGAAUCUGAGUUUCUUACUCCAAAAAGUUGCUUCUGAAUUCUAUUGAUAAGGUUGAGAGGCUCUUGCAUAAGAAUUGGUGAAACUUUCACACAUUGAUGUCUAUGAGGUGAAGAAAAAAUUAGGAAAUUCUUGAAGCAUAGUUGAAGUUAAAGAGAGUUUUUAUCUGACAUUAGAAGUAGUGAUUUAGAGGUGAGGUAGAAAGGAAAUUUGGAUGAAAUCCUCUUCUAAUGAUAUUUCCAAUAUUCCAAUUGAUUCAUCGUAGGGUUUUGUACUCUUUCUUACAGUUACAAUGUACAAGAAGAAUGUUUCAUCAAAUUGUAUAGUGAUUUCCUUACUCGAA